RNAcentral lists this long non-coding RNA (208 nucleotides) under Nicotiana benthamiana. RNAcentral's name for it is "long non-coding RNA (NBEN_LNC013678)". Lineage: Eukaryota; Viridiplantae; Streptophyta; Magnoliopsida; Solanales; Solanaceae. The record is from RNAcentral.
AAUGGUCAGAGAAUGAAACACUUGUAACCAAAAUUAAAGCAAAUAAGAGGGGACUUAGAGAAGAACCAAGAAGAACAUACAAACAAGAAAAUAGUACAAACAUAAACGUAUAAGUCUAGGGUUUCAUCAGACUUAAGCAAAAUGUUUAGAAGAAUCACGAAUAGUACUCAAAGAUCAGAAAGUAAAAUGAUUUCGAAAGGGGGGUGAG